CCAAAUAACUAGUACUAGUAUAUACUCACUAUAUAAAGCCGACUUUUUCUCACCGAAUACAUCACAUUGCCUAUCAGCAACUCUACAACAACCCCAAAAAUGUUCCAGAAAUUCUUUAUGUUCGCCGUUAUCAUCGCCAUGAUGGCCAUCGUCUUCACCAACUCCAUGCCCACUGCUGAAGAGGGUGAAGCCGUUGACCAAACUUUCUGCAAACUCUUCUCUACCUGCGUCAACAGCACCGACUGUGCCAGCAACCUCAUCUACAAGACCUGCCGCACCAAUCUCGUUGGCAGUCUGCAGUGCUGCUUGUAAACGAUUCAUUGUCCUGAGAUGUUAUUUAACUUAUUACUGGCAUCACGACGACCCAAGAUUUAAGAGCAAGAUCACGUUUACCGACCUUUCUACUUUUGUUUUCUUUCCAUCUAUGCCUAAGACAAGUCAAAUCUUUAGUUAGGUCUCAUACACCUAUCUCAAUUUAAAAACUUGUCGUUUAUAUCAGAAAAUAAAAAUCCAUUCUUAAGCAUAUAA
This is a long non-coding RNA of Daphnia pulex (common water flea), 528 nucleotides long. RefSeq lists it as uncharacterized. NCBI's taxonomy places the organism in Eukaryota, Metazoa, Arthropoda, Branchiopoda, Diplostraca, Daphniidae. The record is from RefSeq and is a predicted model, not a curated record. The transcript is spliced from 3 exons.